CCAGCUUCCUUCCAGCCCUUG
This 21-nucleotide microRNA is filed under the name Mus musculus (house mouse). Its description in RNAcentral is "mmu-miR-3099-5p". RNAcentral also lists the same sequence under 1 other name. Lineage: Eukaryota; Metazoa; Chordata; Mammalia; Rodentia; Muridae. The record is from miRBase by way of RNAcentral.